This is an RNA transcript of Octodon degus (degu), 1939 nucleotides long. It is a transcript of the gene named arf-GAP domain and FG repeat-containing protein 1 pseudogene, with no coding region annotated. The record is from RefSeq and is a predicted model, not a curated record. Lineage: Eukaryota; Metazoa; Chordata; Mammalia; Rodentia; Octodontidae. The transcript has a single exon.
AAACAACAAGGGUCGUUCGUGUGCACGUCCUGCUCCGGCAGCCUACGAGGGUUAAAUCCUCCACACAGAGUGAAGUCUAUCUCCAUGACAACGUUCACACAACAGGAAAUUAAAUUACUGCAAAAACAUGGAAAUGAAAUUCUUUCCCAAGGUUUGUAAACAGAUUUGGCUAGGAUUCUUUGAUGAUAGAUCUUCAGCAAUUCCAGACUUCAGGGACCCACAGAAAGUGAAAGAGUUUCUACAAGAAAAAUAUGAAAAGGAAAGAUGGUAUGUACCGCCAGAACAAGCCAAGGUCGUGGCAUCAGUGCACGCAUCUACUUCAGGGUCUUCUGCCAGUAGCACAAGCAGCACACCUGAGGUCAAGCCCCUGAAAUCUCUUUUAGGAGAUUCAGCACCAGCACUGCACUUGAAUAAGGGUACACUAGUCAGUCCCCAGUGUAGGUCGCUCCCAAGGGCAGCAGCAGGAAAAGAAGCAGUUGGACCUUUUGAGUGAUCUUGGCUCAGACCUCUUUGCUGCUCCGGCUCCUCACUCAACAGCCACAGCCAGUUUUGCCAACUUUGCACAUCUCAACAGUCAUGCAGUGAUAGCAGAGCUACUCUCCAGCCAGCCACAUUUCUUUCUAGCAAGCAUUAAAGCUCAGAAUUCUGCAAAUGCAGAUUUUGCAAACUUUGAUGCAUUUGGACAGUCUAGUGGUUUGAGUAAUUUUGGAGGUUUCCCCACAGCAAGUCACUCUCCUUUUCAGCCCCAAACUACAGGUGGAAGUGCUGGAUCAGUAAAUGCUAAUUUUGCUCAUUUUGAUAACUUCCCCCAAAUCCUCCAGUGCUGAUUUUGGAACCUUCAAUACUUCCCAGAGUCAUCAGACAGCAUCAGCUGUUAGUAAAGUUUCAGCAAACAAACCUGGAUUACAGACAACAGACAAAUAUGCAGCCCUUGCUAAUUUAGACAAUAUCCUCAGUGCUGGGCAAGGUGGUGAUCAAGGGAGUGGUUUGGGGGCCACAGGUAAAGCUCCUGUUGGUUCUAUGGUUUCAGUUCCCACUCAGUCAGGUGCAUCUUCAGACAGGUAUGCAGCCCUGGCUGAACUGGACAGUGUGUUCAGCUCUGCAGCCACCUCCAGUAAUGCGUAUACUUCCACCAGUAAUGCUAGCAGCAGUGUUUUUGCAACAGUGCCAGUGGGUGCUUUGGCACAGACUCAGCCUGCUUCUUCAAGUGUGCCUGCUCCAGUUGGAGCAACGCCUUCCACAAACCCAUUUGUUGCUGCUGGGGGUCCUUCUGUGGCAUCUUCAACAAAUCCAUUUCAGACCAAUGCCAGAGGAGCAACAGCGGCAACCUUUGGCACAGCAUCCAUGAGCAUGCCUGCGGGUUUUGAGACCCCUGCUCCCUAUAGUCUUCCCACUAGCUUUAGUUUUCAGCAGCCUGCCUUCCCAGCCCAAACAGCUUUCCCUCAACAGACAGCUUUUUCUCAACAGCCCAAUGGUGCAGGUUUGGCAGCAUUUGGACAAACAAAGCCAGUGGUGACCCCUUUUGGUCAAGUUGCGACUGCUGGAGUAUCUAGUAAUCCCUUUAUGACUGGUGCACCAACAGGACAAUUUCCAACAGGAAGCUCAUCAACCAACCCUUUCUUAUAGCCUUAUAUGGACACUUUACUGGAACGAACUUUCAUGUGGUCAUAUUACAUCCCUCCGCCUCUUGCACUGUUGUCUUGUUUCACUGAUCUUAGCUUUAAACACAAGAGAAGUCUUUAAAAAGCCUGCAUUGUGUGUUAAACAUCAGGUAAUAAGUGCAAAACAGAGGGCUCUGAUAACAACUUUUAACCUGUGAAUUGGCAGAAAAAGAUAGCGGUAUCAUGUGUAUUAAAAAUUGGCUAAUACUAAGUUAUUGCAGACACCACAUUCAUUAUGCUGCAGUACUGUACAUAUUUUUCUUAGAAAUUAGCUAUUU